This 517-nucleotide ribosomal RNA is filed under the name uncultured bacterium. RNAcentral describes it as "partial 16S ribosomal RNA". It matches the Rfam family "Bacterial small subunit ribosomal RNA", at positions 355 to 889 of the family's 1533-position model. The record is from RNAcentral.
UGGGGAAUAUUGGACAAUGGGGGCAACCCUGAUCCAGCCAUGCCGCGUGAGUGAUGAAGGCCUUCGGGUUGUAAAGCUCUUUUGGCGGGGGACGAUGAUGACGGUACCCGCAGAAUAAGCCCCGGCUAACUUCGUGCCAGCAGCCGCGGUAAGACGAAGGGGGCUAGCGUUGUUCGGAAUUACUGGGCGUAAAGCGAGUGUAGGCGGUUGCCGUAGUCAGGUGUGAAAGCCUUGAGCUCAACUCAAGAAAUGCACUUGAUACUGGGUGACUAGAGGACCGGAGAGGAUAGUGGAAUUCCCAGUGUAGUGGUGAAAUACGUAGAGAUUGGGAAGAACACCAGUGGCGAAGGCGGCUAUCUGGACGGUUACUGACGCUAAGACUCGAAAGCGUGGGGAGCAAACAGGAUUAGAUACCCUGGUAGUCCACGCCGUAAACGAUGGGUGCUAGACGUUGGCGAGCUUGCUCGUCAGUGUCGCAGCUAACGCGUUAAGCACCCCGCCUGGGGAGUACGGCCGC